This 423-nucleotide ribosomal RNA is filed under the name uncultured bacterium. Its description in RNAcentral is "partial 16S ribosomal RNA". It matches the Rfam family "Bacterial small subunit ribosomal RNA", at positions 359 to 774 of the family's 1533-position model. The record is from RNAcentral.
GAAUUUUGGACAAUGGGCGAAAGCCUGAUCCAGCAAUGCCGCGUGCAGGAUGAAGGCCUUCGGGUUGUAACCUGCUUUUGUACGGAAGGAAAAGCUUUGGGUUAAUACCCUGUAGUCAUGACGGUACCAUAAGAAUAAGCACCGGCUCACUACGUGCCAGAAGCCGCGGUAAAACGGAGGGUGCACGCGUUACUCGCAUUUACUGGGCGUAAAGCGUGCGCAGGCUGUUUUGUAAGACAGAGGUGAAAUCCCCGGGCUCAACCUGGGAACUGCCUUUGUGACUGCAAGGCUAGAGUACGGCAGAGGGGGGUGGAAUUCCGCGUGUAGCAGUGAAAUGCGUAGAUAUGCGGAGGAACACCGAUGGCGAAGGCAACCCCCUGGGCCUGUACUGACGCUCAUGCACGAAAGCGUGGGGAGCAAACA